AGGGAAGAAAAUGACGGUACCUGACUAAGAAGCCCCGGCUAACUACGUGCCAGCAGCCGCGGUAAUACGUAGGGGGCAAGCGUUAUCCGGAUUUACUGGGAGUAAAGGGAGCGUAGACGGCACUGCAAGUCUGGAGUGAAAGUCCGGGGCUCAACCCCGGGACUGCUUUGGAAACUGUGGUGCUAGAGUGCAGGAGAGGUAAGUGGAAUUCCUAGUGUAGCGGUGAAAUGCGUAGAUAUUAGGAGGAACACCAGUGGCGAAGGCGGCUUACUGGACUGUAACUGACGUUGAGGCUCGAAAGCGUGGGGAGCAAACAGGAUUAGAUACCCUGGUAGUCCACGC
RNAcentral lists this ribosomal RNA (342 nucleotides) under uncultured Clostridium sp. Its description in RNAcentral is "bacterial SSU rRNA". It matches the Rfam family "Bacterial small subunit ribosomal RNA", at positions 441 to 800 of the family's 1533-position model. Lineage: Bacteria; Bacillati; Bacillota; Clostridia; Eubacteriales; Clostridiaceae. The record is from RNAcentral.